This 253-nucleotide ribosomal RNA is filed under the name uncultured bacterium. Its description in RNAcentral is "partial 16S ribosomal RNA". It matches the Rfam family "Bacterial small subunit ribosomal RNA", at positions 524 to 776 of the family's 1533-position model. The record is from RNAcentral.
UACGUAGGGUGCAAGCGUUAUCCGGAAUUAUUGGGCGUAAAGAGCUCGUAGGCGGUUUGUCGCGUCUGCUGUGAAAACCCGAGGCUCAACCUCGGGCCUGCAGUGGGUACGGGCAGACUAGAGUGCGGUAGGGGAGAUUGGAAUUCCUGGUGUAGCGGUGGAAUGCGCAGAUAUCAGGAGGAACACCGAUGGCGAAGGCAGAUCUCUGGGCCGUAACUGACGCUGAGGAGCGAAAGCGUGGGGAGCGAACAGG